AUUGAACGCUGGCGGCAUGCCUUACACAUGCAAGUCGAACGGUAACGCGGGGCAACCUGGCGACGAGUGGCGAACGGGUGAGUAAUGUAUCGGAACGUGCCCAGUUGUGGGGGAUAACUGCUCGAAAGAGCAGCUAAUACCGCAUACGACCUGAGGGUGAAAGCGGGGGAUCGCAAGACCUCGCGCAAUUGGAGCGGCCGAUAUCAGAUUAGGUAGUUGGUGGGGUAAAGGCUCACCAAGCCGACGAUCUGUGGCUGGUCUGAGAGGACGACCAGCCACACUGGGACUGAGACACGGCCCAGACUCCUACGGGAGGCAGCAGUGGGGAAUUUUGGACAAUGGACGCAAGUCUGAUCCAGCCAUGCCGCGUGCGGGAAGAAGGCCUUCGGGUUGUAAACCGCUUUUGUCAGGGAAGAAACGCUCUGGGUUAAUACCUCGGGGUAGUGACGGUACCUGAAGAAUAAGCACCGGCUAACUACGUGCCAGCCGCCGCCGUAA
RNAcentral lists this ribosomal RNA (498 nucleotides) under uncultured bacterium. Its description in RNAcentral is "partial 16S ribosomal RNA". It matches the Rfam family "Bacterial small subunit ribosomal RNA", at positions 29 to 523 of the family's 1533-position model. The record is from RNAcentral.